RNAcentral lists this ribosomal RNA (445 nucleotides) under uncultured bacterium. RNAcentral's name for it is "partial 16S ribosomal RNA". It matches the Rfam family "Bacterial small subunit ribosomal RNA", at positions 354 to 796 of the family's 1533-position model. The record is from RNAcentral.
GUGAGGAAUAUUGGUCAAUGGGCGGGAGCCUGAACCAGCCAAGUCGCGUGAAGGAAGAAGGAUCUAUGGUUCGUAAACUUCUUUUGCAGGGGAAUAAAGUGCAGGACGUGUCCUGUUUUGUAUGUACCCUGAGAAUAAGGAUCGGCUAACUCCGUGCCAGCAGCCGCGGUAAUACGGAGGAUCCGAGCGUUAUCCGGAUCUAUUGGGUUUAAAGGGUGCGUAGGUGGUUUGAUAAGUCAGCGGUGAAAGUUUGCAGCUUAACUGUAAAAAUGCCGUUGAAACUGUCGGACUUGAGUGUAAAUGAGGUAGGCGGAAUGCGUGGUGUAGCGGUGAAAUGCAUAGAUAUCACGCAGAACUCCGAUUGCGAAGGCAGCUUACUAAGCUACAACUGACACUGAAGCACGAAAGCGUGGGGAUCAAACAGGAUUAGAUACCCGAGUAGUCC